CAGCCGCGUAAUUCCAGCUCCAAUAGCGUAUAUUAAAGUUGUUGCAGUUAAAAAGCUCGUAGUUGAAUUUCGGGAUCAAUAUGUUGGUCGUGCCUUUGGUACGUACUAGCUUAUUGAUUUCUCCCUUCUGACGAACCAUGAUGUCAUUAAUUUGGUGUCAUGGGGAAUCAGGACUGUUACUUUGAAAAAAUUAGAGUGUUUAAAGCAGGCUUACGCUUGAAUAUAUUAGCAUGGAAUAAUGAAAUAGGACGUUUUGAUUCUAUUUUGUUGGUUUCUAGGAUCGACGUAAUGAUUAAUAGGGAUAGUUGGGGGCAUUAGUAUUCAAUUGUCAGAGGUGAAAUUCUUGGAUUUAUUGAAGACUAACUACUGCGAAAGCAUUUGCAAAGGAUGUUUUCAUUAAUCAAGAACGAAAGUUAGGGGAUCGAAGACGAUCAGAUACCGUCGUAGUCUUAACCAUAAACUAUGCCGACUAGGGAUCGGAUGAUGUUAAUUUUUUAAUGACUCAUUCGGCGCCUUACG
Molecule: unclassified non-coding RNA, 519 nt
Filed under: uncultured Glomeromycotina
Lineage: Eukaryota; Fungi; Glomeromycota
Description: SSU rRNA
Rfam family: Eukaryotic small subunit ribosomal RNA
Source: RNAcentral